This 476-nucleotide long non-coding RNA is filed under the name Rattus norvegicus (Norway rat). Its description in RNAcentral is "long non-coding RNA NONRATT014111". Lineage: Eukaryota; Metazoa; Chordata; Mammalia; Rodentia; Muridae. The record is from RNAcentral.
UUUUCCAGUGUUUAGAUUUUUAUCCACUUUAUUAAUGAGGCGGGCAAGAGGCCCGGGUGAGGGUGUGGGGGUUUGCUCCUGUCCCGCUCAGAGGAGGGGGUCACAGAAACCAAACCAAUUCAGAAAACUUCAGUCCUUGAAGAGAAGGAGCUGGGCCCAGUUGCCCUGACCAUUGCCAGCUGUAGAGGUUUUGCCCACUCAAGGCUCCCAGCCCCAGAGGGCAGACAUGCAUGGGGUGGAGCAGCCCCUGGAGGCCAGUGGAGUGCGGGUGGAGGCGGCACGGAGCCGAGGAGCCGCCCCAGGAAGAGGGAGCGGCCUGCCGGGAGCCAGGGAGUAGCUGGAGUGGGCAGCAGGAGCCAAGUUCCAGGCCAUGGGGACCCUGCAUCCUGAGCGCACUGGGUAAGAAGCUGGGACGUGAUGGAUGGCAAGCCAGAGGAGGAGAACUCUAGCCAUCCUGCUCUCUUGCUGUUUUAUGG